RNAcentral lists this ribosomal RNA (492 nucleotides) under uncultured bacterium. Its description in RNAcentral is "partial 16S ribosomal RNA". It matches the Rfam family "Bacterial small subunit ribosomal RNA", at positions 29 to 507 of the family's 1533-position model. The record is from RNAcentral.
AGUGAACGCUGGCGGUAGGCCUAACACAUGCAAGUAGAACGGCAGCACAGUAAGAGCUUGCUCUUACGGGUGGCGAGUGGCGGACGGGUGAGGAAUACAUCGGAAUCUACUUUUUCGUGGGGGAUAACGUAGGGAAACUUACGCUAAUACCGCAUACGACCUACGGGUGAAAGCAGGGGAUCUUCGGACCUUGCGCGAUUGAAUGAGCCGAUGUCGGAUUAGCUAGUUGGCGGGGUAAAGGCCCACCAAGGCGACGAUGCGUAGCUGGUCUGAGAGGAUGAUCAGCCACACUGGAACUGAGACACGGUCCAGACUCCUACGGGAGGCAGCAGUGGGGAAUAUUGGACAAUGGGCGCAAGCCUGAUCCAGCCAUACCGCGUGGGUGAAGAAGGCCUUCGGGUUGUAAAGCCCUUUUGUUGGGAAAGAAAAGCAGCAGGUUAAUACCCCGCUGUUCUGACGGUACCCAAAGAAUAAGCACCGGCUAACUUCGUG